Molecule: long non-coding RNA, 504 nt
Organism: Bufo gargarizans (Asiatic toad)
Lineage: Eukaryota; Metazoa; Chordata; Amphibia; Anura; Bufonidae
Exons: 3
Source: RefSeq, a predicted model, not a curated record
UAAAAUGUGCGGACCUGUAAGGUUCGAAUCAACGUGUAGCCCGGUAGCACUGUGUAUGGGGGAAUCGCAUGUUACUAGCAUUUAUUCGGCAGUCCGACACAACUUUCUAUUUUACACCGAUUUUUUAAAAUAUUAAACAGAGAUUUAUGUGCACGUGGCAACAAGUACAUCUCAACAUGAUGACAUCGCCCUGAUCUUGCCCGCAAUGCAACGAAGUUCAGCAAAGUAGUAGUGUGAGGACUGCGGGCCGAAUCCCUGUGCAUGAAGACUCGUACUGGAAAUCAGCAGGCCACGUCAGUUGUAAGAGAUUGUCAGGAAAAUGACUGAAGUUUUUCCCAGUGAUCCCAUUGGCCGACGUAUAAUUUGUGAUGGGGAAUAUGCAACAGUGCGCUAUGCUGGGACGGUGCCACCUACACCAGGCACAUGGCUUGGAGUAGAGUGGGACAACCCUUUGAGAGGAAAGCAUGAUGGAUCCCAUGAAGGAACAAGAUAUUUUACAUGCAG